Non-coding RNA from Podarcis muralis (Common wall lizard), 1168 nucleotides. Lineage: Eukaryota; Metazoa; Chordata; Lepidosauria; Squamata; Lacertidae. The record is from RefSeq and is a predicted model, not a curated record.
GUCUCCCAAGAUGAGAAGAGGGAUGAAGAGGGAGGAGCAGAGACAGGUGUGCUGGCAUAGUCUCAGAUUGCUUGGAAAGGACCUGGUGGCAGAGGGAAUUUUGGCAGCUGUGGAAGGUGGGGACCUUCAGCCUCCACAACUGCCUAAUAGAGGCAAGACCUAUGAGAAGGGUUGCUGUGCUCAUUAGGCCUGGCUCCCCUGAGCUGGCCUGCUUUCUGUUACUAAAGAGUUAACUUCACAUACUCUGUGGAUUUCUGGCUGACUGGCUCCCUGUCAGGUAGGACCCAUACCAAUGGAUUCCAGUUACAAGAAAGGAAAUUCCAACUCAACAUCAGGAAGAACGUUCUGAGGAGUCUUCAACUUAAGCACUUUACAGUGGAACCUCAGUUGUCAAAUGCUUCGGAAGUCGAACACUUCAGCUUUCAAAUGCCGACAACCCGGGAGUGAAUGCUUCCGUUUUCAAACGUGCCUCAGAAGUUGAAUGGCUUCCGAGGCGCAUUUCUCCAUUUUUUCAAUGGAUUUUGCCGACCAGCAAUAGCGCCUGGGUUGUCAUACGUUUUGGAAGUCAAACAGUCUUUCGGAAUGGAUUAUGUUCGACAACCGAGGUAUUCUUUAGGAAGUUAAGCUAGUGACUGGCUUCCCCCUUCCCUCUUCUAACCAUUUUCCCAAAGUGGUACUACUAUUUUUAUCCUCCUUUAGCUGCGUCUUGCAUGGCGGAGUUUAGCUGACCCAAGGGCAGAUGUCUGGCCUGCCAGGAAGUGCUGAAUGAACAUGAUGAUUAGGGGAGGACCACUAGUAAACACUCGUAGCAUAUUUGUCAAUCAACAGGAAAUUAAUGGCAUGAUAUAUAGCAGGAAUGAGGCACAAGCUUUCUGGCUUUUUGAACAGGUUAAGAAAGCAGGGCAAGAGUAAUAUGAAAAGGACAUUGAUUUGCAGCCCCGUGUUCUAACAGAGGCUUACCUACUUGCAGCAAAAAAGGGCUCAUGCACAACGAAUCAUAGGAAUGCAGCCUCAAGCCUCAAGGCCUGGAGAAGAGCCAGCUAUAAAGGUUCCUUCCUUAAGUUGAGCCUAUUCACUCAAACACAGAGGCCAUUUAAUGGAUGUUAAAUUUUGCAGAGUGACCAUGUUGCAAAAGACCCAAAAUAAAUGUGACUUGCUAUUUAAACUC